RNAcentral lists this unclassified non-coding RNA (222 nucleotides) under uncultured Acidobacteriota bacterium. RNAcentral describes it as "uncultured Acidobacteria bacterium contains 16S-23S intergenic spacer region". Lineage: Bacteria; Pseudomonadati; Acidobacteriota. The record is from RNAcentral.
UCCGGUUUAUCACCGGCAGUCUCUGCAGAGUGCCCAGCAUAACCUGAUGGCAACAGCAGACAAGGGUUGCGCUCGUUGCGGGACUUAACCCAACAUCUCACGACACGAGCUGACGACAGCCAUGCAGCACCUCUACGAGUGUCCUUGCGGAAGCUCACUUUCAUGAGUGGUCACUCGCUGUUCAAGCCUGGGUAAGGUGGGGAUGACGUGUGCGUAACAGAA